UAUCAUGAUGAACGACAUAAUGCGUGAACAAUCUCUGAAUAAAUUUCAAAUGCGAAGUUUAAAGGAUUAAAAAACCUAUGUUGCCUUCCUUCUGACA
Molecule: small nucleolar RNA, 97 nt
Filed under: Vanderwaltozyma polyspora DSM 70294
Lineage: Eukaryota; Fungi; Ascomycota; Saccharomycetes; Saccharomycetales; Saccharomycetaceae
Description: Small nucleolar RNA snR52
Rfam family: Small nucleolar RNA snR52
Source: Rfam by way of RNAcentral